Molecule: ribosomal RNA, 439 nt
Filed under: uncultured bacterium
Lineage: Bacteria
Description: partial 16S ribosomal RNA
Rfam family: Bacterial small subunit ribosomal RNA
Source: RNAcentral
CUACGGGUUGCUCCAGUGGGGAAUAUUGCACAAUGGACGAAAGUCUGAUGCAGCAACGCCGCGUGGAGGAUGACACAUUUCGGUGCGUAAACUCCUUUUAUAUAAGAAGAUAAUGACGGUAUUAUAUGAAUAAGCACCGGCUAACUCCGUGCCAGCAGCCGCGGUAAUACAGGGGGUGCAAGCGUUACUCGGAAUCACUGGGCGUAAAGCGCAUGUAGGCGGACUUGUAAGUUGGAAGUGAAAUCCUAUGGCUCAACCAUAGAACUGCUUCCAAAACUGCUUGUCUAGAAUAUGGGAGAGGUAGAUGGAAUUUCUGGUGUAGGGGUAAAAUCCGUAGAGAUCAGAAGGAAUACCGAUUGCGAAGGCGAUCUACUGGAACAUUAUUGACGCUCAGAUGCGAAAGCGUGGGGAGCAAACAGGAUUAGAUACCCUCGUAGUC